AUGGGUGCGGGGACCACGGGGCCCGACGGCGGCACCGAGGCGCUGGCGCUGGACGCGGUGCUGGGCACGCUGCUGGCUGUGCUGCUGCUGCUGGCGGUCAAGGCAGCCGCGGAGCAGCUGCGGCGGCGGCGCGCCGGUGUGGCGGUGCUCGUGGUGGGCGCCGGGCCGGUGGGGCUGACGGCUGCGCUUGUCGCUGUCCGCACCGGCCGGGUGCUGAAGCUGACCGUGCAGGACGCGCGCGCGCGGGGCCCGCUGCUGGGACGCCCGCAGCAGAUUGCGCUGGACCCGCGCAGCGUCCGCUUCCUCAGGCCGCUGGGAGUGGACUUCGACAAUGUGGAGGGCUGCUGGCGCAACGGCCACUUUUUCACCAGGGUCGGCGUCUUCCAGGAGCACCUGCUCAGCCUCCUGGAAAGGAAGGGGCAGCGGCCUGGCUUCUGUCUUCUCCUGGGCACCAAGUUUACAGAUGACUUUAUGAGGAAGGUGGUGGUGCCAGACUGGCCCAAAAUCAUUGUGGUGGCUGAUGGCUCCCAUGGGGAGACCUGCUCUGUGCUGGGGCUCAGUCCAGAUUAUGUGGUGGAAUCCUGCAAUGCUUAUGGAGCUAAUGCUACCAUCACAAGACUGGAUCAGAGACAGGUUCCCACACCAGAAAUCCGAGCCCACAACCUCUACCUGGAUCUCUCUGCUUAUGGGAUCGAGGUCACCUCUGUAGCAAAGGAAGCCCCAAGCUUGCCUCAAGCGGUUGAACAGCCAGGUUUCCACCUGAAAAUCUAUGGAACCUUCCGUAACCGAUAUAUGGCUUUGGCAUGUCCAGCUUCUGAUUCCAAAGUUGUUCGAUUUCUCCGCCAUACUCUCAGCCCCUCAAUAAUGAAGACCAUCUUCCACCAAGCAUUCAACACCUACAAGAUGGACAUUGAGCCUCGCGUGAGGGACACCGCGAUGCCUCGAGUGCAGUGCAGCAGGAAGCUGUUUGAGAUCGUUCUGUCCCACAGGCGGGCCACCGCAGCCUACAUCCAGGGUGAGGGCAGGGUGGUCACCGUGGAGGGGGAGGCAGCUCGAGUGCUCAACUUUGACACAGGAUCUGGGGUGAAUCUUGGGCUCCAGGGCCUGGAGUCUUUGGAUGAAUUCAUUUGCAAGAUUGCAACAGCUGUGGAUCAGAGCGACAUCUUGGAAGCUUUGGCUGCCAAAAUAAGACACUCUAAGCAGGUGGCGGAAGACUUUAAACGGAAUGGACUCCUCACCACAGUUUUCGAGUGACUGGGGGCAACACGACUGCCUCCCAGGGGGUCAUUCUUCUAGCUGUGGGGCAGAAAGUAUCCAGGAAUGAAGUUAGGCUGAAAUAGAAUUUCGAGAAUGGUGGCAAGUUAGCAGUUACAUAGUAAAGCUACAUUGAAACAUGAGGCCUUUAAAUGUAAAUUAAAUGAAAUUUCCAAAUGUGAGGGUCUGAUUUGGAGAUGUCAGUGCAAUAGAAAUGAACUCACCAGGGAAGAGUGCCUCACUGUGGCCUAGAGAAAAUGAGCCCUGUUACUAAGUCCUGAAGACUCUCAUAAGAAAACAAAAUCAUUCUCUCCUAAUGCUUCAGGGAAUCAAGUUCUGUCUCUUUAAAGCAAAUGUGGCAGGAGGUUAACAAUUACUGUAUCUAGGUCUGUGUGUUGCAGGGGUGGUAAUUUGGACGUUGAUCGGACUUGUCUUAACUUUUCUUGAUGUUUGAAAAAUUUCAUAAUAAAACGUGUUGGGAGAAAGGAAUAAAGUAGAUCACCAUAAAUAAAAGUAGAACAGAUACAGUAUCAUUGAAAAUAAAAAAAAAACAGUACUUUAAAUAAAAUGGAUUUAGCUUUAUGAACAAUUCACUUUUUUUACUUUGUUUUUCUUAUUUUCUUAUGGAGGAGUGAAAACUCCUGGGCACCCCAGUACUGAGGACCCCCUGUUCUGGAAAGAUAGCACACAGGGGAACGUUAGUAGAGAGGAUGAGUUCGGGGCUAGUCCUCUUGUCUGGAUUCUAAUUCCAGAGCCUGCUGGCUCUUACUCACUGAGGGACCACAGACAAGUUACUUAAAUUCUGUGUGCCCCAGUUUCUUCAUCUGUAAAAACAGGGCUGAUAAUGAAAUAAGGCAAGUUUAGUGACUUGGUCACUGUAAGUGACAUGAGCUGAGUUGGGUUCCAAAGAUAAUUACAGGAAACCCUACCACCGAAACUCACCCUUGCCUCUGUAUACCUGUACAUCUUGGUUCAAACUUUUCCUACAAUCCUCAAACCAUAGUUCUUUGUGUGUCUGUAAGUCUUAUCCUAAUUGACUGAUUUCUGGAUGCAAGGGAUAUUUCGAUUUUCUUGUUUUUUUCUCAGACACAUGGCAUAACUUUUUUUCACUUAUUGUGUGUUUGUGUGAAUAAAUGAAAUACAAACACACUUUCCUAUGUAAGGCCACAUUGACCAGGAGAGAGUUUUCCCUGGGAAUCCUGUUCAGUAUUCUUCCUUAUUGGUUACUUUCCAUGAGAAGUUUGUCAGAGGAGCCAGGAAGGCUUCCCGAGUCUCAUUGGCAUAUUGCCUUUGGCACCAGCACAGGAAGCUUAAUUUCCCAAAGAAUGGUGACUUCUAUUAAAGCAGGUUUGCAGAAUUGUUGGGCUGUUUGUGUGUGUGAGGGGGAGGGCAAUGACCAUCAUCACGGUAAUGAUAGGAACUAAACAAGUGUGGGCCUGGGGUGAGGGGUGGGGUGUGUGGGGUGCCUGGGUGGCUCUGUCAAGUAAGCAGCUGCCUUAGGCUCAGGUCAUGAUCCCAGCAUCCUGGGAUCAAGCUCCUUUGGCUCCCUGCUCCUCGGAGAGUCUGCUUCUCCCUCUCCCUUUGCCCCUCCCCCUGUGCUAAGGCCCUGUCUCUCGCUUUCUCUCUCCCUCAAAUAAAUAAAUAAUAAAAACCUUAAAAAAAAAAGAAAAGAAAGAAAGAAAUGUGGCCCCGGGGAUGUUCCCCUAAAGCUUGUGUCCACCACGUAAGUAAUGCCAAACUGCUUUUAGCAGCAACUCGUCAGUCUAUGUUCAUCAAUUGUCAGUGCAUAAAUGGUCACUCAAAGAGAAAAGACAGUUCAAAUGUAGAAAUCCUUGUCAGGGAUUGGUCUUUAGCCUUUCAGAUCGUGGGCACAUAGGGCCAUCUGGUGUGCAGUUGUAUAACCACACAUUGGAUUUUUUUAAGAUCUCCUCACUACCCAUCAAUGUGACUUAGUUGGCUUUACAAAAGCAAACCAUUCUUUAGGCUUAUUUAGGCGUACAUAUUGAGGACCUUGGCUCAUUCCCAAACUUAAGGCUCCUCAAACCUAUAAUAAUCUAUAUGCUAAAUAGAGCUCUCACCCUCUUAGAGAUCCUUGUAAGACCAACGUCAAAGUCAUGUGUGAGGUAGAGCUCAAGGGGCAAGAAGUGGAGGUGCACAGAGGAAGCCAGUAGAGAGAGCAGGACAAUGUAGCUCAUGAGCAGAGAGUGAGGAGCAAGAGACUAUGAAAUCCACAAGAGGAAUAAAAGGAGCCUGUCCUUGGGCUCGCUCAGGCCCUGAUAACAUUCUAAUUUAGCUCAUGUGCACCCUGGCAUAAACUUUUGCUUAAGUCUCUGUUGCUUGCAAUAAAAUAAGCAUGACUAAAACAACAUCAGUUUGAAUGAAGCCAAAAGACUAGAAAUCCUAAAAUCUGGCAUGCCUACCUUCAUAAAUCCCCAAAUGCCUGUAUGUCUUACUCUUUUAAUCUUCUGAUAGAAGCCACAGAUAAAAAGUAGAAAGAAAGGAAUGAAAUUAGGUCAUCAUAACCAUUUGGGACCAUUAUUGGUAUCUGGGCCACUCAGCCAGACUUCUGUCAAUCCAUUGGUCUCAACUCUGGAGCGACUAGGAAUUGAAGAAACCUGUGCCCUCAGACAGUGCUAGAGAAUUGGCAAUCUGAACUAGCAGGGUCUGAAUGCCACCUUGUGAAUCUCUGGCCAGGAAGGGUCUCUUCAACAUCUUAAAUACUUCCCACCAUUUAAUUUAUGAGUUAGUAGUUUUCUGGCUUACUGUCAGUGUAGAUCAGUGUUCUCAACUGGGGGUACAAUUGGCAACAGCUUGGAGACUUACUGAUUUUACAGCUUGGGGGAGGGGGGACACCACUGGUAUUUAGCAGGUAGAGGCCGGAGGUGCUGCUAAAUAUCAUACAAUGCACAGGACAAGACUCCCCCCCCCUCUCCAAGCAACAAAGAAUUAUCUGGCCCCCAAUGUCAGUAGUGCUGAGGUUGAGAAACCAUGAUGUCCAUGGCAGGAGAAGCCUUGAGGGAAUAGUUUAAGUGGUAGGAAGAGCAGAGGGUUGACCCUGAAGUUGUGAAUUUUACCAAGGGGAGCACUACCAAGUUUUGGGGAAGAUACCAUACCGUAUCACUACCUGUGGCCUGAUGCUGAGUCAUAGGCAACAGGUGCCCCGAGAGGCUCUGGUGAAGGCAAUCAGAGAUAAAUCUAAGUGGUCAGUCCUUGAGCAGAGCUACAGAUUAUGAUUGGAAAGGCAAAGACUAAUCAGUUUGAUUCUAUUUAUUCCCCUUUCCAUCAUUUGGGGUCAUUGUGACCUAAUCUCUUAUUUAUAUUCAAGGAAUAAAUUGGCUUGGGUAACAGAGACAAGGGGUUAAAUUGGAGGGAACAGAAGAGCAGCAUAUUAAUAAAUUAACUUAUUUAAAUGUAUAUGGGUUGGAGAGUGAUGUUUUGAUAGGUCUGAGAUACAAUAGUGGACCUGUGAAAACUAAAGUAUAUUUUCAUUAAGUUAGCUUUUGGUUGGGCACCUUCAAAGGAAAGCGAGUCUCUUCCCUAAAAAGCGUGCAGAGCGGGAAUCCCAAAGCAAUAUCAAUUUCAGAACUUGAAGGCAAAAAGCAACACAGCUCCCUGCCUCCCCAUGCCCCCCACCUGUUUAAAUAUGUAAUUUAAAAAAAUAAAAGAAAUUUCAAAGAUAUGUAAUUUUUGAGAUGGAGGCUUGCAUUGUUCUGAGACCUAGGCCAUGGCAAUCCUGGUCAGUAGACUUCCCUGUGAUAGUGAGUUGGGGAGUGAGUUUCAAUUGGGAAAUGUUCUGGAAAACAACUUAGGCAAGACCAAGUUAAAUAUAUGCUUCCAGUUGUUGACACAGGACAUUGAUAGAAUAUUUGUAGGUGCUCCAAGAGGAUUUGAGAGAGUCCACUUUGUAAAUUGGGAAUUGGUUUUUUACUAGGUUGACUUAUAGAGGGCCAAACCUAUGAAAUCACAUUGAUUCAUUAAUUUAUUUCAUUCAAUGAACUUGAAGGUGUUGGCAUUUUACCAAGUGCUAGCGAUAGAAAGAAGCAUAAGAUGUGAUGCUCUGUCAGUUUAGUCAGGAGUACGCAGAUAAAUAGGUAAUUGUAGUAUAGCAAUACGGCCUCAACUGCCAGUUACUCCCCUGCUCUUCUUUCUUCUAACUGUGCCCACCUCACGGAGGUGUCGGCUCCAGGAAAGAGAUCAUCUAUGAAUUCUUGGCCCGGAAUUAAGCGGUUUAUAAACGUUAGCCCUUUAUUUGUCAACAGAGUCAUGCUGUGGCUGGGAGCAUCUUCUCCAAGCGGGAAUUUGCAUUUUUAACGUUCCCACGCUUUACAUGUUAUGGUUACAUGCACGACAAAGUGUGUGAGUCAGCCUGGGUGAUGGGAAGCUCUGGAAGGUUUCUGGGCAGGAACAUCCAGUCUUCAUAAUGUCCUAAAAGACGGAGAGGACAGAGCCCAGAAAACCAGCAUUCGCAUCCCUGCUUUCUGCUCCGCUGUCCCUUCCUGCGGGGCCUGGCCUACAUUUCCCAGGAUGCUCAUUUUCUGGAGCUCCAGCAGGAUUGGGCAGACCGACGCGGAAGUAAUUACGGGUCGCUGAGCAACGGGCGGAGUCCUGGAACAGGACUGGAGGCUCACGCCCCUUCCCCGAGGCCGGGAGGUGGACGAAGCUCAGCUCCAUCUCCAGAGUAACGGGGCGUCCACCGGCUUUUACUUCCAGCUGAGAGGCAGUGCGAUCUCUCCGGUGCUUUCACCGGAGUUCUUCCCAGGCCCCGCCCCUUUUACGCCUGCAGCUGCGAAACGCGGGAGACUGAAUUCUAGCUACCGAGGCGUCUGAGCGGCUCGCGGCGGCGCAGUGCGCAGGCGCGAGCGUUUGGGUCUGGCCGCGCGCGGCGCUCGGUUGAAGCGGGAGUGAGUUCCUGGGCGCAGAGACCCGGCAGCGGGCGACCGAGAGAGUGGGUGAC
Molecule: long non-coding RNA, 6208 nt
Organism: Ursus thibetanus thibetanus
Lineage: Eukaryota; Metazoa; Chordata; Mammalia; Carnivora; Ursidae
Source: Ensembl